UGAAUCGCAUUUUUCGUUGNCAUACGGGUGAAANUGUGAUAAUGUAAGGGAAAAAAAUGAUGUUACCUUACUAUAAGUGUUGUCCAAAACUGGUGCCAGAAGACUCGGUAAGGCCAGAGACGCGAACGUUAGUCACAUUAACCAGGCGUAAAGGGUUUGUAGGCAGCUUAGGUAGUUUUAUUUUUAUUAUAGCUAUUAAAAAAAAAAUAAAAUUAAUUUAAGAUAGAAUCAUAUUGAGGUUAAGCCGAAUAAUACUUAGAGUAGGGACUAAAUCCUAAAAUACUAGGUGGAAUACUAAUGGUGAAAGCUUUUUAUCUAAUAUUGAUCGACGCUGAGAAACGAAGGCGAGAAUAGGAAAUAGGAUUAGAGACCCAAAUACCUCUCACUGUCAACGAUGAAUGGUGGAUUGUUAGUUUUUUAAAACUAGUACCGAUGCUAACGCGAUAACCAUUCCGCCUUGAAAGUACGGUUGCAAAACUGAAACCAANAAAAUUAGUCGGUCUCGAAGCAAACGANNUGAAGCAUGUUAUUU
RNAcentral lists this ribosomal RNA (532 nucleotides) under Stygiomarasmius scandens. RNAcentral describes it as "Marasmiellus scandens partial small subunit ribosomal RNA". It matches the Rfam family "Bacterial small subunit ribosomal RNA", at positions 409 to 947 of the family's 1533-position model. The record is from RNAcentral. Lineage: Eukaryota; Fungi; Basidiomycota; Agaricomycetes; Agaricales; Campanellaceae.